ACUCUGAGAUGGGACGAAGACCAGGACUCUGUCAUCUUCCAAGUCUCCAACCCCCGCCUUGCCUCUUCUGGGGGGACCCUGGGACCACACUCUCAUGGCAUGAUUGCUUUAUAGGUGGGCCUUGCCAACCCUCAUCUCCCAGAUGCCUGCUUCCAGCCGCUUCUCUGAUAGCAUAUCUCCGUGAAGUCAGGGUUUAGACUUUUAAACCAGAUCUUUAAACCAGUGCAUAUUUACUGUGGCCUUGGCCAAAUUACUUCACUUUUCUGAGCUUCAAGUGCCUCUUCUAUAACGUGGGCCUAGUAAUAAUUUUACCUGUCUUGCAUGGUUGUUGUGAGAUUGAAGGUGCUGUUUCACGUGGAGUUCUUGGUUCACAGGAAGUCCCCUGGGAGGCACGCUGUCAUUGCUUCUGUUAUUGUUUCCUGUCGGCCCAGUAGACACAAACAGAGCAGCAUCUUCGCCCCUCUCCGUCUCUCACAGGCCAUCUGUUUGCCUCCGUUUGAACUCAGCCAUGCCAAAGGUGACAUGAACCUUCUCGCCGAGAAGCCACUGGUGUUGGCUGGCACGCUGAAAGUUUUCACAGGUAGAAGGAAGAGUACAAGACCAUGGACACAGGCUGUGUGACAGAAAUACACCUGUUACAGGUCACUGCCACCUGGACUCACAGCUGCCUUUAUCUGGCAGUGUCCUGCAUCACCUGACCUUCAUCGAGAGGUCCGGGUGAGGUAGACAGCUGCCCUUCCUGCCAUUCUGCCACUGUGGAGGGAAACUGGGCCUUGGCCCUGGUUCCCGGGCCACUGCGAACAUGCACUGGGUGAGAUUCUGGGCUCAGAAUGAUACUGGUGUGUACAGAAGCAGACAGGUGUGGGGAAGGGAAGUCGCUUUGUGUGAACAGGUGCAUUAGUUACUUUCCUGAUUGUCGCGACCCGAUACCUGAGAAAGGCAACUUAAGGAAGGAAGGGUUUGCUUUGGCCCGCGGUUCUAGGGAACGUAGUCCAUCCGAGUCGGGGAAGGUGGAGCAGUAUGAGCUGGUGUCGGGUGUCAUUGCAUCCAGAGUCCAGAAUCAGAGAGCAAUGAAUGAAUGCUGGUGUUUGGCUUGAUCUCUGUUCUAUACAGGAUCCCAGCCCAGGUCACGGCGCUGCCGAGGUGGAGAUGACCCUUCCCAGCUCAGUUAAAUUAAUCUAGAUCAUCCCUCAUAGGCAUGGCCACAAGAUUUCCCCCUAGAUGAGUCUGGAUCCUGUCGGUUUGACAGUAAUGGCCAUCACAGCAAGCUGAGAGGCUGGUUUGUAUCACCUCAUGUCACCCUCCAAUCACACAGGGGGAGGUGCAGGGGCCAUCUCCGGGUGAGAAAGCUAACUCUCUAGUUUGAGAGCCAUUGAGUCCCCUGCUCAUAGUGUCCCAGCUGGAAUAUGACAGUCCAGGAUUGGCAGGUGUGGUCUGUCUGCCUUUCCAGCUCAUACUGUGAUCUCGUAUUUUGUCUUCCUGGGCUGGCUGCUAUAACAAAUUGCCUUGGGCUUGGUGGCCAAUGUAGGGCAGGUACUUAUUUCUUACUGUUCUCAAGGCUUAAAGUCCAAUACCAAGAUGUCGUCAGAGUUGGUGUCUGAUGGAGGCCCACUUGCUGCCUCGAAGAUGGUGCCUGCUUGGCAUGACCUCAUAUGAAGAGCCGAGGGAUCUCCCCAGCAUCUUUUUCACAGGACCCUAAUGCUGUUUGAGAUGGCUCUACCCUUAUAGCGCAUUCAUCCCUUACCCAGAGGCCCCUUCACCCGGCAGCAUCACUUAUGGAUUAGAAUCCCAGUGCAUGGUUUUGAGAAGGCUGUCAGCACUGCCUCCAUAACAUACGUGUUGUUGUUUAUGACCCACUGCAUGACCUGCACUGUAUGAGGCACUGCCACCAUGGGCUCCCUAUCUGGCUAUCUUAGGUGAUCAGAGUCAGCAGAGGUGCUCUGCCAGCUACAAGUCACCUACAGUUUCUCUCCAGAUAGGCUGUGGAUGGCCUGGCCAUCUGUUGUAGGGGCUCUGGGCCCUCCACUGCCUUGGACUCAGAGACCCUGCAGCUUUAUGCCUGGGAGACACCCUCGGAGGCAGUGACACAUGCCAGGACCCAGGGCUCACACUGAUAGUCCCAUCUUAUCCUUUCCUUCCCCUACCCACCGGCUAGUCUCACUGUCCCUCCCCCUGCCCCCCCCCCCACAUAUACCCCAUUCCAAUCCUCGGCUUUUGUACCUUAUGAUGUGGGGACCUGGGCGAGUAAAGUCAUUAAAGUCAUUAUUCCUUGCGCAGAAAUGUCAUUCAUGUUAUUCAUAUUUAACAUUCCCCCAGCUUGAUCUUUUUUGAUGCUUUUAAAUGCCUAGUAUGACAUUCUGCACACACACACACACACACACACACACACACACACACACACACACACACACAGGGGGGGGUGUCUUUACUCCUGGCAGCAAAAGGAGACUCCUUGUCACCUAUUUGUUAAUUUAUAAAAUAAUUCUUAUAUUUUGGGGAUUGAUUCUGGCUGCUGCCGGCUGAAUGCGAUUGUGGGGAUUGGAGAAUUGGGUGACACUGGGACAGGAGGAGGUAUGACAAAGUUCUGGGUUCAUGUUCCAACAGUCACUUGUCACUUCUGGCCCAGGUGUCCCUCUGUAAAAUGGCCAGCUCCACACCACGGGGCCUGAUCCAGAUGCCUGGGACAGACUGCUGCCAAUCAGGAGUCUUUUUAAAAUCUCCACUCAGAUUGAAAUCAUGGGUGGGCAAGGCGAAGGACUGGUCUUCAGCAGAUGGGAAAAGCAGCCAGGUGAGCAAGGCAACAAGGGAGACUCCAGCAGCUGCUGACUAGAGAGUCAAACUGGCCCAUCUCCCCAAGUCUUUGCUUAUUUGCAGGAUAAUGAACACCAGGAACGCUUAUAAAUAUAAAUAAGACCUUGUUAUUAACACUAAUUGUGAUUUUAAAAAAGUGUGUGUGUGUGUGUGUGUGUGUGUGUGUCUGUGUGUGUCUGUGUCUGUGUGUUCAUUUGUGCAUGGAUGCACUUAGAGGAGUUUAAGUCAAGUCCAAUCCAGGUAUCCUGCAGCAGACAUUGCAGGGAAGCCACCAUGGAGGAGCUGUGGCAGUGGAAGGUAUGGAGCAAUAUGGGAGAACACAGAUGCAGGGUACAGAGAACGUGACGUUACCGAAUAGGGCUGGCCCUCGGCCCAUGAGCUGGCCUGCAGCACAGAGCCCCAGUGGCGGCAGCCCACACUGCUUGCCAUGCUGGGAGGAGAGCUUGGAGUAGCAUCACUGCCUGGAGGCUGCAAGCACAAGGGCCAAGCCCCAUGAGCCUGGAUGCAGCCGUCACCGAGGGCCAGGAGAUGUGCAGCCACACGGAGCUCUCACGGAUCCUGUCCCUGGAUGCCCUCCUUAGCUGAAAGGUCAGCCUGACUCUGGGCAACAGCAGGAUAUCCAUGAUGAGUCUUGGUGAUGGUCCAGCAUUUAUGGCGACUCAGAAACCAAAAACCUUGAACCAGACCAAUGACUCAGGGCAAUGAGUCAUUGUACAUAAAAUACAUAAAGUUGUUUAGGCAAAAAAUACACUGUGGGACACACUGCCGUUUGCAAUGCCACAUCGAUGAAAAAGUAUGUGAUGGGGAGGUAGGAAAAAUGGAGGAAUGUAGCGGCUCAUGCGCAGUGGGAAGAGGUGGAACUGGAGACACCAUGGUGGUGACAAGUGUGGCAGAAGGCUUUGGGGUGUGUGUGUGGGGGGGAACGUUGUUGCUGAGUAGGGCCAGCAGGAUGGUGUGCAGCAGCCUAGAAGCUUGUAUAGGCUCUGUCCCCAAACACGCUACCCAGCUGCAUGAUCACCCUGGCUCUGAGCAACGAGAGGAUGUCCUUGAGAUGGAGAAUGGUUCAUUUUCUGGAUUGGGCCUCUUCAAAAGACCUCCAGGGUCCAUGCCACCCCAGAGACUGUCUUGAUAUCAAUUAUCCGUGUUAUAACUGGGGGACAUGCUGGUGUCUGUCCAUGGUCCAUGCUGCCAUCCCUGGCUGUGCUGAUGCCCAAGGUUCAUGUGGCUGUCUAUGGUCUGUGGUGUCACUAGAGGCCACAUCAAUGUUUAUGGCCCAUGCUACCACUGGAGGCAGGGUGGAUGUCUGUGGUCUGUGCUACUGCUGGAAGUCAUGUUGAUGUCAGUGAUCAGUGUCUCCACUGUUGGCCAUGUUGAUAUAUAUGGCCUGAGCUGCCUCCUGAGGCCAUGUUGAGGUCUGUAGUCUGUGUUGCUGCCAAGGGCCAUGCUGGUAUCUGUGGUCCUGCUGCUGCCUGGGUCAUGUGGAUGUCCAUGGUCCGUGUUACUGCAGAAGACCAUGCUGAUGUCCAUCCAUGGUCUGUGCUGCCACCUGAAGCCAUGCUGAUGUCCGUGGGCUGUGUGGCCUCCUAAGCCAUGUUGAUAUCUGUGGCCUGUGCUGCUGCUGGAGGCCAUGAUGGUAUCUCUGAUCCACGAUGCAGCUGAGGACCGUGUCGAUGUUUGUGGUCUAUACUGCCACUGGAGGCCAUAUUGAGGUCCACGGUACUUGCUGCUGCCAGAGGCUGUGUGGAUGCUUGUGGUCUGUGCUCCUGCAGGAGGCCAUGUUGAUAUCUGUGGUCUGCACUGCCACAGGAGACCAUGCUGAAGUCCAUGGAAGGCUUCCGUGACAACCUCUCUCCCCCAUAAUGCCCCCACCACACACAAAAAGAAACAGUCUAGACGGGAAGCUAUUGAAGAGAACUCUUAAAAAUUGUGAUAGGGACCCUGAAG
Non-coding RNA from Peromyscus maniculatus bairdii (prairie deer mouse), 4755 nucleotides. The record is from RefSeq and is a predicted model, not a curated record. NCBI's taxonomy places the organism in Eukaryota, Metazoa, Chordata, Mammalia, Rodentia, Cricetidae.